Mustela lutreola (European mink) is the source of this 806-nucleotide long non-coding RNA. RefSeq lists it as uncharacterized. The transcript has 5 exons. NCBI's taxonomy places the organism in Eukaryota, Metazoa, Chordata, Mammalia, Carnivora, Mustelidae. The record is from RefSeq and is a predicted model, not a curated record.
CAGGUCAUGUCUACCACAUUGCAAUAGGCCCUCACACUGGCAUUGUGAGUACAACACCGAUAUGGAGAGUCAAACACAUUGCGGAGUACAGAUCUGUCACUUGGGGAUCAUGACAGCAUGGAUCACUCAAGGUGGUGAGGAUUAAAGGAGAGUCCACUUGGUCUUCUUUGCCCCAAACUGCUUCCUCUUCUCCUUUUCUCGAAUCGUCCACUAGAGGAUUUCUUGACAACUAAAAAGAAGAAAAGAAUUGGAAAUAUCAGAGCCCCUCCCCCCGCAACGCCCACCAGGGCAGGAAAAUGCUCACAUGGGGGGCUGUGUGACUUCCUGGAGCUCCUGCAGCAAGGGGGCCCAGCCAUUCUGAUUCCCCACCCUGCUCCCUGCCCACCACUCAGGGCUGCUCAGCAUGGUUCAGCAGUGCAGACCUGGGUCAGGAGCCAGGGUGACACCAGUAAAGCUGGUGAGGGGGCCAGCAGAGAGACCUGAAAGACAUUGAAGUUGUAAGAAUCUCCAGUACCUGCAUGGCGCCAGGUUCUUUGGAAGAACCAUCCAAAGAGGGAAAGGGGAAGAAACACAAAGUGGAGAUCAAAGUGGGAACCCAGGAUCUGAUGGUGCCCCUGACUACAGACAGCGAGAGACUGAUUCCAGAAUAUACACCUCUUUGGGCGGCACCUGAAGGAAACCAGAGGGAACCCAGUGUUUGGCCCCCACGGUAAGGAAACAGGACGCCUGUAGGAAAUUGUUUUUCCUUGGAGAUGUGUCUGCCCAGUCCACUCAGGAUGGUGCCUACAAAAUUCUUCAUCCAAGAA